RNAcentral lists this ribosomal RNA (441 nucleotides) under Triticum aestivum (bread wheat). RNAcentral describes it as "partial small subunit ribosomal RNA". The record is from RNAcentral. Lineage: Eukaryota; Viridiplantae; Streptophyta; Magnoliopsida; Poales; Poaceae.
AUGAACCCGCAUUUUCUCCGGUACCACCACCGCUGGUCUGACCCACCUCGCCGUAGCCGCCGUCGGCGUGACCACGGUCCCCAAUUCGGCCUCCGCCUCCGUGCCGCCGCCACCAUGUUGCCGCAUCAGAUUUGCCCCACCUUGGCCGGUCGUUGUCGUGCCGGAGCCGCCUGCAAAGAAGCAAUAGGCCGCCAAGUCAUGCGAUGGAGGCAUGAAGCGGCCGACGGUGAGGUGGCGCAACCCAGCGGCGAACCAACCUCGGCCGACCAAAUUUUGAAGCCGGACGCGGCUGUGAGGGGCGAUUGGCUUCUUCCGCCGGCGGCCGUGGCUUCCUCCUCCGGCCCAAGAGGCCCUCCUCCACCACCGUCGGCCAUGGAGGAUGACAUGGUCACGCCGACGGCCACCGCAUCCAACGUAUUUAACAAAAUGUCCCAAAGGUAA